Nannospalax galili (Upper Galilee mountains blind mole rat) is the source of this 643-nucleotide long non-coding RNA. RefSeq lists it as uncharacterized. The transcript has 3 exons. Lineage: Eukaryota; Metazoa; Chordata; Mammalia; Rodentia; Spalacidae. The record is from RefSeq and is a predicted model, not a curated record.
ACCCCAACCCCCUGUGUUAGGCAGUUAUUAGGUCUAGUGCUUUUCCGUUUGGGGGCACAACCCCCUGGCAAGAGAGUUCAUCUGUUGUUGGAGAGACUCAAGGCUGUCAGUAGUGGAUGUCAUUGCCUGAUCGAGCUUGUCUCAAAAAUCCCCUGCCAGGUGAUGGGUCUGUACAAUGGCAGCAGUCACCACGUCUCCAGCACCCAAAGAGAGAGGGUGAGUCCAAGAGGAGGGCAGCUUUUUCUUCCUCAAACAGAGUCACGCGAGCCAUCUUUUUUGUGGGCAGGGGGAUGCUGGACAUUUCUGGCUGGAACCCAGAUAGGCUUUGAUUGAUCCUGUGGAAAAACACAAGCAAAUCCUCUCCCUGUGGUCAGUAAUGGAUCUGGUCCUUUCCGGAUUCCACUGAGGGGGUCCCCCCCAUUUAACCAUGGUAUGAACUGAAGAUCCCUCGAAAGCAACAUCUAUGUUGAAGAUUCUUAAGACUGAGUAGAACUUGGUGAUCAUGGAGAGGUGGAAUGCUGCAGGCUGAGCAGCAAAAUUAUCUUGGACCGUAGUUAGUCUCCUUAACAGCUGUGGGAAGCGAGCACAGCUGAGUCAGCCAGAUGGCGCCCUGGCUGGCUGCCAAACCUCGUGCUGUUUACUC